GAUGUCAGGAUUCAUGUGCUUCCUUGAAGAACAUCAAGCCUAUGAAAGAGGAUGUGCUUCACCAAAGACCAAAAUUGAAGAUAGUAACAUGCAAAGACAAAACAGUAUCUCAGAACACACAUGCUUCUGGCAAGCACAUGAAGCCUGCCAUCAUAAUCAAAGAUUCUCUU
Non-coding RNA from Ictidomys tridecemlineatus (thirteen-lined ground squirrel), 170 nucleotides. The record is from RefSeq and is a predicted model, not a curated record. Lineage: Eukaryota; Metazoa; Chordata; Mammalia; Rodentia; Sciuridae.